Molecule: long non-coding RNA, 343 nt
Filed under: Coffea arabica (coffee)
Lineage: Eukaryota; Viridiplantae; Streptophyta; Magnoliopsida; Gentianales; Rubiaceae
Description: long non-coding RNA (CARA_LNC008162)
Source: RNAcentral
CGGUAUGCAUGUCCUAUGGGGGAACCCUUUUUGUGCCAAGGGUAGGCCUAGCAUGAAAAUGCAAUCCGCUAGAGUAGGCACUAUACAAUACCUGAUGGAUCUGAUCAACUCAUGGAGUGAAAAAUAAUUUGAAAAAUUUGGCCCAUUGGAAUGAGAAGAGACGUUGGUCAAAAUGAGGACCUCGUCCGAAGGGAUUGAUCACUUUUGAUCGAUAUAAGAAUUUGCAAAAAACGUACGGGUAUGACCUUGACGAACUUCCUAUCGAAGAGAUUGGAAUUCGUUGACAAACUUUCUCAGUGAAGCACGGAUCAAAACUCCAACUGAUGAUUUUCUCAAAAUUGAC